AUUGAACGCUGGCGGCAUGCCUUACACAUGCAAGUCGAAUGGUAACGGGGGCUUCGGCCUGCCGACGAGUGGCGGACGGGUGAGUAACACAUCGGAAUCUGUCUUAGAGUGGGGGACAACCCGGGGAAACUCGGGCUAAUACCGCAUAGACUCUUAGGAGUAAAGCUGGGGACUGCAAGGCCUAGCGCUCUAGGAGGAGCCGACGCCCGAUUAGCUGGUUGGUGGGGUAACGGCCUACCAAGGCGACGAUCGGUAGCUGGUCUGAGAGGACGGCCAGCCACACGGGGACUGAGACACGGCCCCGACUCCUACGGGAGGCAGCAGUGGGGAAUCUUGGACAAUGGGGGCAACCCUGAUCCAGCAAUGCCGCGUGGGUGAAGAAGGCCUUUGGGUUGUAAAGCCCUUUCGGCAGGGAAGAAGGCGUUGAUUUUGAAUUAGAGGUUGACGUUUGACGGUACCUGUAGAAGAAGCACCGGCUAACUACGUGCCAGCAGCCGCGGUAAUACGUAGGGUGCGAGCGUUGAUCGGAAUGACUGGGCGUUAAAGGGUGCGCAGGCGGUCUUACAAGUCUGAUGUGAAAGCCCCGGGCUUAACCUGGGAAUGGCAUUGGAAACUGUAGGGUUAGAGUGUGGCAGAGGAAGGUAGAAUUCCUGGUGUAGCGGUGAAAUGCGUAGAUAUCAGGAGGAAUACCGAUGGCGAAGGCAGCCUUCUGGGCCACGACUGACGCUCAUGCACGAAAGCGUGGGGGGCAAACAGGAUUAGAUACCCUGGUAGUCCACGCCCUAAACGAUGUCGACCAGCCAUCAGGUGAGGAAUCGCUUGGUGGCGCCGUUAACGCACGAGUCGACCGCCUGGGGAGUACGGCCGCAAGGUUAAAACCCAAAGGAAUUGACGGGGGCCCGCACAAGCGGUGGAGCAUGUGGUUUAAUUCGAUGCAACGCGAAGAACCUUACCGACGCUUGACAUGUGAGGAACCCUAGGGAGACCUGGGGGUGCCCGUAAGGGAGCCUCAACACAGGUGCUGCAUGGCUGUCGUCAGCUCGUGUCGUGAGAUGUUGGGUUAAGUCCCGCAACGAGCGCAACCCUUGCCUUUAGUUGCCAGCGGGUUAUGCCGGGCACUCUAGAGGGACUGCCGGUGACAAACCGGAGGAAGGCGGGGAUGACGUCAAGUCCUCAUGGCCCUUAUGCGUCGGGCUACACACAUGCUACAAUGGCCGGUACAGAGGGAAGCCAAGGAGCGAUCUGGAGCCAAUCCCAGAAAGCCGGUCGUAGUCCGGAUUGCAGUCUGCAACUCGACUGCAUGAAGUCGGAAUCGCUAGUAAUCGUGGAUCAGCUACGCCACGGUGGAUACGUUCCCGGGCCUUGUACACACCGCCCGUCACACCAUGGGAGUGGAGGAUACCCUAAGCAGGUUGCCUAACCGCAAGGAGGGCGCUUAUCACGGUAUGCUUCAUGACUGGGGUG
Molecule: ribosomal RNA, 1464 nt
Filed under: uncultured bacterium
Lineage: Bacteria
Description: bacterial SSU rRNA
Rfam family: Bacterial small subunit ribosomal RNA
Source: RNAcentral